GAUGGAGUCUAAAUAGUCCAACGUCUGCCUCUGGAUUUGGAUGGCAUUAUGUAACGUUAUGGCAUGAAGCGCAUACAUUGCCACUUCCUUCUGCACUGCCUGAAUGCAUAAGACAGAUUUUAACUAUUUGAAGAAAUUGAGCGUUGUUAGAGAAAGCUGUCUUGAUUUCAUUGGAAGACUGUGGCAAUUCCUUCUCUGCCUCAGUCACUGAAGUAAGAACCUCAGGCUGCCUGAAUGAAGUUUUCCUUAUAAGAGUACUCCAGUGCUAAUGAUGACAACAGUGAAGGAACCAGCAAUUCAAUACUGGAGGGUGCUGCGGAGGGAACAUUGACAUAAGGGCAGGCAGCACUCAGCUCCCAGACCUGCACUGUGAUCCAUCUGUCCUGCAGAGAACUGGCUCUGCUUCUUACAAGUGCCACAUAACACCUGGAGGGCUAUGGUGGCAUUCACUCAAACCCCAUCUGGUCAAGGAAGAAACGGCAUAUUCUCCUUAAUGCUGCUCUCUCCACACCUUUAUGUCAGACCACUUCUGUGCCAGGGUCUGCCAGCUCAGUACUCAUUAUCCACAUAAGGGAGAGUAGAGCAGGGCCCAAACAGGAGAGGCUCUGGAUGUGACCAUCAUGCAGAUCGUUUCAUGGUGACCCAGCGGGAGAACCAAGGCCAGACUCAGAGGUUAGCAGUUCAUAACGGGUAAAGAGAAGUUUAAAUUUCUGAAUUAUAAAGUUGUAAAAAAGAUUCAAAGGGAAGUAAGGGCAUCCUCAGCCCACUCUUUGAUAGUACAAUACAUAAAAACCAGAUUUUGUAGGAGUAUAAUAAAAGAUUGUAUAGGAGUAUAAUAAAACCCAGACACAAGUCUGAAAAAUUCAUUAGUUUCUGCCAUGACUAAAAUAAGCACUGUCUAUGAAAACUACUUUGCAAUGGUAAUGAAAAGCAAGUGGAAAAGCAAGUGUUAGCACCAGUGCUGUGACGUGAAAUAAUUUCUGUAUACUCAGAUCUGUCAUUGUGAACAAUGUUGUUGAUUAUAAACUACAUCAAAUUCUCAGUCUCCCCCAAAACAUGUAUUUUAUUUUGCAGUUUUUGUGGUAAUUACGAAAUCAACAGAAUACUAUCUAGUUUUACCACAAUUAAGCUAAAUACAUACUUUUUAGAUGAUGUAAAAAAUACUUGUUAAUGGUAAUGUCUCCAUAACAGUAACUUCCACCCUAGAACAAGCGACAAUGUUUCUUAUGCGUUUUUAGGGGUGGCAUUUAAUGAUAAUGGUGAUUUUCAGCUUUCCCAAGAGUUUUACAAUUUAGCAGGUACUUGGAUGCAAUUUAUAAUCAAGAUUUGACCUGCAGAGCUUCAUUUAUUGUUACUCGAUAAGAGAAGCCUCCAAGAUUUGAAUGAAUCUCGUGGCCUUUUCAGCGUGCAUGAGUAUGAUGGAAGGGACGAUGACACAGACUUAUGGCACUGCAAGCAGCUCUCUGAAAACAGAAAAACAAAAAACAAUUAGAAAAAAGAAACACUGCAGUUUAAUAGAACCAGUGACACAAACAAAAUGUGGACUCGAGAACAGCAAGUGGCAACUAAGGUAAUGAUAGAACUGCUUCACAAAUAAUUCGCUGUUUAGAGCAUCUUACAGAGUGAGAUUGUAUCCUUUUGUUAUGCAAUAUAAAAUCAGAUAAGCAUUUGCUGUAACAAAAGUUAUUUACAGUCACAUAAUUUUGAACAACAAGCACAUGACCUUUGAAAUUAGAUUGGUUAAAGUUUUCCAAAAAGUUAAAAGUUAAAGUUUGACUGGCUUGAGUCAGUGGGAGAUUCCCUUCAACUUCAGUGGGGCUGUUGAAAAUCCUACCCUUCACUGAUUGUUUGUAGAUAGGGCUGAUGCUUCCUACCUCUUCUUAAAUAUGCUGUUUCAAUUCUAUUUGACCUUUCUUACCUGUAUGAUACCAUUUGACUGAGUAGUUUACUAUCUUAUUGAAUACUAACUUCAUCAUUUGCUUCAGUAAUUGCCUUUUUUAUAGGUUAGAUAUGGGCAAAGACCAGACAAAGCAGAAACAGAUCCCAUCUACUUCAAAUACUGUCUGGCUAGCCAUAGUCAUAAGCUAUGUUCAGUUAGUAUUCAGAAUACUGCUGACUCCUUUCCUAUACCUUCAUAAAAAAGUAUGUCAUAAGGAUAUUAUAGUGAUCGUAUUUAAAAUUAUUUUUCUGUAUUGAAAUAGAGUUGACAAGUAAAGGAGUUUAUACUGAAGAAUUUAAGGUUUGGGUUUUAUAAAUGUAACGGCACCGUAUUUUUUAAUGUUAAGCUAUAUUUGUUAUAUAAGCUAUAUAAGUUGAUAUAUUUUGGAGCAAGUGAAAAUGUUUGAAUUCCUUUCAGAAUGUAAAAUUGUCGCCAGAGUUUUAAAAGCAGCUCUUUGCAGGCCCAACACCUGGAAAAUAAAACUUUGGGAAAAGUAAAGGAAAAGGAACAUCAGUCUUUCCUCAAAGACUUCUAAGCAAAAGUAAAGAAAAGGAAAAACAUUUAGACUUUCACUUUUUUAAUGCAGUCUGAAAGCACAACAGCGUUCUAGUUUGUCGACUUACAUUUGUCUGUUGCCUUUUCCUGCUACCAUCAGCACAGUUAGAUGGUACGUGAAGUCCCUUGGGCGUGUUAUGGUGAAUAGAACCCUCAAAAACCUUUUAUUUUCUCUUCUCUUUACAAGACAGCGCAUUCUCUAUUCUCAAGAUCAUCUUCGUGAAAGUAUCCAUGGGACGACUGCUGAAGAAACAAGAGGAACUAACAGAGAAAAGGUAAUUAUAAGAAAAAGUGAAUUGCUAGACAUAUGUGGAUGCAGAUUUAUUACACUGGAUGUGCAUUUUUCACUCUCUACGUGAGAUAGUUUCCUCAACUUAGCUACAAAGAAAACAUGGAAGGGAUUGAUUUUGUCUGUUAGAAGAUUUCUGCUUACACUGGACUCUGAGAUUAGUCUGUUGCUUUCCCUGGGUGGCUUCUUACUAUUGCCCUUCUACAUUGAGAGCUCCUCUGUCAUAUCUUGUGUGAUGUCCAGACACCUUCUCCAUAGAUCAAAGGUUGGCAGCCUGUUUUUUAAGCCUUUUUUUUUCCAAUUACUUGCAUGUACAACAGGUGCUGAGGCUCAUUUGUUUUGUUUGUUUCUACCAUUUUGACCCUUCAGUGUAAAUAUGGCUAAGGUUUUAAACCAACUAGAGCAGCACUGAGUGCAGCAUAAGUUAAUCUCCUUGAUUUUUUUCGACAUUCUGAAUGGAUUUUGUAGCUUGAACUGUGCUCUGUGCUUCUGAAGACAGACUGCUACCAUUGCUGGAUGUGACUGCUUUACACAGUGUUUGCCUACAGCCCCAUUACGCAGCACUCACAAACUGUUGUAGAGACACAGGCUAAGAAAUGGCAUACCAUGAGUACAAAUACCCACAGUUAGGGUUAACAGCCUUUUUGAAGAUGCAUUGACCAGUUCGGGGGAGCUCUUUUCAGAGAUCUGCCUAAAACAAGUUUUGUGAUAGAAUUUAAAAGAAAAAAAAAAAAUCCAGCACCUCAAGUCUAUAGCACAAUACCCUCUUUCCUGUCUGCUUAUCUUCCUUUCCAUUGGCAUGAAGUUAAAGUAGAAACCCAGGCUCAGUGUCAUACAGCUUAAUAAAUUUAAUAGAAGAUACUGUUCAAGAAAAAUCUUAACUUACUGCGUCUUUUAGAUGAUUGACAAUUUAGGAAGUCACAAUUUCAGGCUUUUAAGUCUUUCUCCAUUGAACAUAAUUAAACAUUAACCAAUUUUGCUAGUGUACCAUAAUUUUUAUAGGCUGCUUUAAAGCCCUGGUUUCUCUGCCAGGACAUACGCUAGACAAGACUGCACUUUGCUUUGUUUGAAGAACCCAGGUACUGCAAGCCAAGGCUCCUGUGAUGAGUUUGUGCUCAUAAACACCGACCUGCUCACAAAGAGAAGGAAUAUUUGCCUGUUGCUUUCUGUAUUAAAAUACUAACUUGGACUACAGGAGCCUUCUUCUGCUCUGCCCCUCUCAAAGCUGGAUUUUUCUGUCCUGAGAGUCCCCAUUGAGUCAGAGCAGAGACCUGGCCUGCCACACCCAACACCGUAUCCAUCCCAUGUAUGCUGUUUCCAUCCUUUGUAGUACUUUUUAGAAACAGCAAAGACAGGAGAGAAAAAAAAGAAAAACAGAGUCUCGGUGGGAAUAGUCCAGCUGCUUCAGUUUUGACCGACAACUUAAACUAAGUGUAGAUGUCAGUAUGAGGGGUAAGCUAGUGAGAAAUCAGCCCAUAUGUGCUCUUAGUCACCUGAAAGCAGUAGGGGUAGGUCUUGAAAAGUUGACUUUAAAAGAUUAUAACCAUAAGAAUGUGAUGGGUCCAAUACAUUUGUAUUUAGUGUGACCACAUAACUGUAAAAUAAAGGAAAUUCCUAAAGGAAAUGUUUUUGUCACAUAAACACUGAGCCACAGCAAACACAUCUGGCAAAGCUGAAGAUCCAGCUCCCUAGACUGAGCAUCAGAAUACCAUAAAUAAUGUCAAGAGGCAGAAAUGGGGCUGUCAGAUACUGCUACUGUCAUUAUCCUAUUACACUGAAUAACCAUGAGCUUUACUUGUUUAUGGAAACUGUCAAUUGAUAUUUUAAUCUGUAAGUGAAGAAAACAUUACUAUUUUACUAUAUAAUCAUUGAAGCUAAUCUGUUUUCAGCAAGGUCAUUAUUUACACUACUUCCUUUGUAAUCCCUCACAUACACACACAGAAAAAGGCUCUGAAGCUUAAUCUUUCCAGUGCUGAAAAUGAGACUUUUAUGCAAACUGAUAAAAGUUCUUUGUUUGAUUUAUUUGUAAACCAAAAUAGUCUGGUAGUUUGCCUUGAAGUGAAAAGAAAAAAAAACAUGCUCUGUCAAAUCCCGUGCAUUCCUUUUUAUGUAUUUUGUCAUUUCCCCUCUAUUAACUCUGUCCUAAGGUAGAAAGAAGAGUCCACUCUAGCUUGUAUUUGCAUACUGUACUUUAGCUUUGACUUUCUAGGUUGAGCCUGUUAAAUUUAUUGACUGUAAGCCCCUUGAGCUAUUGAGGAGUGUGCAGCUUACAUUGUAUAUCUUUUGAAAGACGAUUCUGGUAGCCCGUUAUCUCUCCAGAUACAAUUUGUCUUACAUAUUCAUGGGUUUUUAGUGCCAGGACCAGUUCCUUCGUUGUAGCUAUUGUUUGGAAUUCUUGCACAGAUAUUAAGGCUUAGUAAUUUUUCAGUGCUGCUCAAGGGAUCCGAGUGUCAAAUGGAAUAACGAGUGGGAGUUUGGGCAGUGAAAACCCCUAAGCAGCUGGCUUUGGAGAUCUUGGUAAAACAAUAAAGGACAAUAAUCUGAGAUGGCAUGAAAGAAACUUUGAGGUGUCUAGGAUAUUUUGUAUGUACAAAUAGAGCUGGCCAGCAUGUAAUACUUUCCAUUCAUUAGCAAUUACAUUUCAUUUUAAUUUCAAGAUUUUAUGCCUGAACGUCAGAGAAAAUUUCAUUUGAGAAACAUCAGCGCAGGGACCUGGGAAAACAAAAUAUGUUCCCCUUCCUGCUACAGCUGUUUUUCUUAGCAGUAGAGCUGACCAGAAUAUUGAUUUCAUUAGGAAAGGGCUUAAGGUGGAAGGAUCUGUAUUCAGGUUAAAGUCAGGGAUUUCAAGUCCUCAGUUUCAUAGGUGACACCAAGAGCCAUGGUUGCCCUCUGGCACUUUGAGGCCUCUGGCUCCCAGGGCUCACCCACAGGUUCUCUCCAGAGUGCAGGAAUAUGAAGUUUCAGAUGCCAUGAUUCUGGCUUCCCAGUCCUUCCCCAUGGCCUGACAGAGCAGGAUGAUUCAGAGCCUGAAUAGCUGCUGUUCUGCAAGGCAGACAUUGAUGUGUCAGUCAAUACAGGCACAUUCUGCCUAGUUUUGGAGCUGACAAGGCUGAAUACCAUGAGCAGCAUAGAUUUAAAAGUACAGAAGGCUGGGGACUGGGAAUCCUACCUAAGGACUUCCAGCUAUACGUAUCCCACCUGGUUAGCUUGAAAGUUAGCCAGAAUAUAUCUACAUCAGGAGCUAUCAUGCCAAAAUCUGUUGUGCAUCUGUGACAGAACUUGGGCUUCUAUUCAGAUCUUCUGCAUCCUGCUCCAGAUGUGAUUGCUCAUCAUUUGAUCUGAGAUAAAAAUAAGCAGCAGUGUACUUUCAUCUCCAGAAAGUGCAUACCAAAAGUCAAAUUCUCUUUCUGGGAAAGCUGUGAGAACAGCCCUGGAGCUGCAAGACACGAACUUCACCUGAAGUGAGGCACAGGUCAGGUCUCUGACUGCUGCAGUCCGUGUUCCAUGCCACACUGCAAGACUGGUGUCAGACUUCCAGGUAUUCUGCCCCGAUGCUCGUCUCUUCAGAAUCAGGUUUUGCAAGGAGCAUCCGUGGCUUCAACAGGUACAGAAAAAAAAAGAUAAUUCAGUCAAUGUUUCAUUAUGGCAAACACUGCUAAUUUUAUUUUGACUUUCUGUGGAAAAACACAGGGAUGUGAUGGUGUUCCCAUUUACAGGUUUAAAUCUUUCAUGGCACCAGCAUCAACAUGAGGGAGAUCUUCCCUUACAAGCAAGCUAGGGUUGCCCAAAACAUUUGUAAUGGCCUAAAAUGUGAACAAAGAAAGUCCCAUAUAAACACUGGGAAGAACUUCUUUACGAUAAGGCUGAUGGAGCACUGGAACAGGCUGCACAGAGGGGUGGUAGAAUCACUUUCUGUGGAGCUAUUCAAGACCUGUCUGGAUGCUUACCUGUGCUACCUAUUGCAGGGCACGUGCUCUAGAAGGGGGUUGGACUCGAUGAUUACCUCUUGAAGUCCCUUCCAAUCCCUGCAAUCCCGUGAUUCUGUGAUUUGCAAGGCAUUGGCUCACGUACAUAUCACCUUACAACUUUCACAAGCAGAGAAGUGGCAGCUCUUAACAAGGUUUAAAUUACAUUUACUCUCCAUAGAGAGGAUGUGUAGCAGAAGAGGGGUUUAUUUCUGACUUACAGUGUACAUGUCAAACAAAUACAAUUAUCUGAGUCAUUAUAGCCACCAUCAUCAUAAUUAGCUUAAGUGAAGCUGUUUUUAGCUUUCAUAUAGCCUCAAUUUGCUGCAAAGCAAAUCACCAAAAUAAAUCAAUAUUUUACAACCUAGCAAACACUGUAGAUUUUUACAAGCAAAAAUUAACAACAACAAUAAAGCGCAAAAAGCCGCAUGCAAAAAUUCAAACUCAACACGCUGUGCCUGGGCAUUUCUGAAUGCAGCACAACUCCUUGCCUGGUUUCCCUGAGCUCACUGUGACAGUUUCCAACACCAGACACUUUCAUUGAAGCAAACAGGAAACAUGUAAAACCAAAUAAAUAAUGACAUGAAAUGAAGCUUUGAUUAGGAGUCUGUGAAUAACGACCCUUUUCAACCAGUCAGUGUCUGAGACGUUUAACAUGCUUUACAUUUGGAAUGUAUCAAGCAAGUUCCACCGAUUAGAUUUUUAUAUUGAGAGGAACGCAUUUUAUUAGAGAGGGAGCUUGUCGGGGCUUGGUGCCAAUCGGCUUCAACUGGUUGUGCUGCAAACACAUCCACCACCCUCAUCCUGAGGACUGCAAGAGGGAACAUGUUUCAUAUUUUCCUCUUUCCUGUUCUGCUCUACAAAUUCAUAAGAGGCAAACGCCAGUUCUCCCUUGGGUCCUAUAGGGAAAAAAAAAAGCCAAAAAAGCUUUUCCAUGUCAUGAGGAAUUCAUCCUUUUACAAAGCUGAAAAUUGCUAUUAUGUUUGGAUGCAUUUGAACAAAAAUUACUGCAAUGAAGAAAGUAUUAAUUAGCUGCAUUUCUCAAGUGAUCACAGUAUUCAGUGCACUCAAAAAGUGGAAAAAAAGACAUUUUUUUGUAAGUUCAAUUAGAUUGUGAUUUUUGUUGCCAGCAGUAUGACAGGGUCUAAAAGCACAGCACUACUACGAAUAAAGAGAAAAUCUGCAGGUGAAUAUUUUAGAAUGAGCUUUGGGGCAGGGGAUAUCAAUUCCAGCUUCAGAAAGGGAUAAAACUUCCUCAUGUUUCACAGCAUGAGCCAAGUUUUUUUUGUUGUUGUUGUUGUUGGUUUUUUUUGAUGAAUACUAGAAUGGCAUAUAAACUGCAGCUACUUAAUUCCACACUUACCAUAUGGAUUUCACAUUUCCUCUACGGCAUCUGGCUCUGGCUAGUGCCAGAGAUGGGUUACUGGGUGAGAUGAACACUACCCCUACCCUGUCCCUUCUGUGUGGGAGGGGUGUUUUUAUGUCUUCUGCAUAUUAUCCAUUGGUGUCCUUUGCAUAAAUAGAGAAGUAUUUGCUGCGAGGAACUUCUUAGAAUAAGUCUAGGAUAUUCUUAUGCUUAUGCUGAGGUCGCGUGGUAUCACUGUAAUCACUGUGCUUUUAGCAUGUCAUCAUUUCACAGACUAGCAGUGUGAGCUAUCGUGGUGUUUGUGCAUAUAGCAAUAAAAAGUGAUAUCUUAGAAUAAGGUACACUAUUUAAUUAAUUAUCAUAUGCACUAAAUGCUAAUAUCCAGAAAAAGGGUAGCUGCGUACAACUUCCUUCAGCCUGAAGUUGGAAUGUAACCACGGGUCAGAAACUGAAAAUUCCACUUGCAUUAAAAUUACACUUUGUCAUUAGAAAUGUUUAUAUUUCAUUAAAAAAAAAAUCUUUCAUGUUUCUCUAUUCUUUAGAGAAGAAAUAACUAUUGUAUUUGGUUUGGAAUGGAUGAACAUAAUCUCAAAUCUUUGUUUGCAUCACUGUGCAGCAUACCAUUUUCUCAAAUGAAAGCUCACAGUAUUUGCAGAGCAGAUGGCAGAAGUGUGUGUGAUUACCUCACUGCUUCUUUGUACUGAGCAGAGAUGGAGGCGAAUUAGGGCCCAUCAGCAGGAGGGGUGUUUGUUUUCUUCCCCAGCAAACCAUCAAAGAAUCCCGGAGCACGUCUUAACUAUUGAGACUGAAAAUUGGGUGAAUUUUGUCUGCCUGAUUCUAGUAAAGACUUGUGUAUUACUUAUAGGGAAAUUCUUUCAGAAAAGUUGCUGGAAACGGUGAGCGCCGUGUAGGAGAUAAUACAGUAACCAAUCUUAGGCCUUUCACGCACAUGGAAGCUUUAACUGAGUAGAACUGUGAGAAAAAAGCUGUGUUGACCAAAGCCCAGGUACAGAUGAAAUUAUACAAGCAAAAAAAAACCCAUUUGCCAAUACUUUCUUUGUUUCCUGUUGAGACAUCUGUAUGAUGCUUUUGCCAAUACAGCCACUUUCCACGCCAAAUUCCCAGCUUGUGCAGCUCUACCUGCAGCCAAACAUUCGGAACGCAAACAAGGCUAAAGAUGGCUAAGUCAGUAUUAUUUCACAUCUUGGAGCAUGAAAAUUUCAGGUUCCUUACCAUUCCUGUUCUGGGGGGGAAGCUGUACUGCAGGAGUUAGCUCCUGAUUCUGCAGUUUUGUGUUGGGCCUGUGACAUUAAGGCACAGCACCGAUUUCUGUCAGGUCACACAGCCUGAAGCUGAGCGAAGCAACAGUGAGCAUGAAGAAAGGAUGCAUCCAAAGCCACCUCUGUACCAGCAGGAGUCAUACGCAGAGCUAGCUGCUGUGCAAAGCUCAGCAAAGCCACAUUUGGUGUAUGUGAUAUCCGGCUCUGUGCUCCUUGUGAUCCAAGGCCUGGACCCCUGCAGAGGGAUUUCUGGCACAGGAGGUGACAUAAAAUGGUGCCGGCAGCCAUUCUUUGUGUCUACCAAAGGUUAUGGGCAGCUCGACAUUUUCCAGCGUUAAAUGCCAGAAAUCUGUUCACUGGAAAAAUUUAGGCAGUGCUAAUUAAAAAGUGAUAGCUUAAUGCUUCCCAAGACCCUGUUUUGAAUUGUGGAGGUAUUAUCUGGCCUGUAGCAACAGCUCUAUCGUCUGUCACAGUUCACUGAGACAGUCAUUUCCAGUGGAAACACAUUGGUUUAGACAAAACUUUGCCAGAAAUGCAAUUUAAAGGGAGAGACGGGGAGGUGAAAAUAAACAACAACUCAGUGGUAAUUGCUGCUCUUUUAGGAAGCUGAGCACCAGUUCAGGUCUGUAGUGGGACUUGCGCAGAGCAGGGAGGUGCGCCUGCAGCCACGCAUUCUGACCUUACUCCUUCCUACUGGGCUCUUUGUGGUUUUAGGAUGGUUCAUACUUCUCCCUCCAGUUGGUUUGGUUUGUGAGAUUUAUUGGCAAGUUCCUGAUAAGCUACAGGAGUAUUUUUAGUCUUUAGUGACUACUGUGUGCUGCCGUUGCACAGAGACAGCGUCAUUCGCAUGCUUUAUUAGACAUUUGCCUAUUCUCCAGCACUUCUGUGCUGUAAUGGAUAAUUUGGCGAGAUGCAUAACAAAAUUUGUUAGCUGCUUUUUUUGUGUGUGUGUGUGUCAAGCUGGAAGCUCCUGUUUGACAUCCAUUUCUGUGGAAUUAGCCAAGUGGGGCAGCAAACAGAUUUGGUAUUUCUGCUCAUUGUAGCAUGGAAGGCAAAGGUUAUCACCACCACAGGACACAAGGAGGGGCGGGCACUCCUCUGGGCUGUCUCUGGAGCUGUGCUGAUGGUGUCUGGUGAAGCAGAUCUGCUGCAAAUUACAGCAUGUGGUUAUGCAUCAAUUUACGCUCCCGCCUGUUGCCAACAACGUGCUGUGCAUGAAUGGAGCUAACUUGGUAAAUAUGCUCUCUAGUAACUGAAAAUAACCAAGUGCUGUUGAAAGGAAUAAUUAAUCAAUGUUUGCAAAGCAUUUAGAAACUGAAAACCACGGUAUUAGUGCUAAGUGUUCAGGGCUUUAGCUUUCCCAUCAGAAGUCUCAGUUUUUCUCUUUGUUAGUCUUUAACCAAACAAAACAUUAAGAGUGCAAAGUCUUUUUGUCUAAUGUCCCCAGUCAGGUGGUUUUGUGCUCGGCAGUUGUUAAAAUGCAGUAAGUAGACCAGAAGAAACUAUAAAUGGGGUGAAUCAGCUCAUUUCUACUGAUGCUGGCAGAAAUGAGUUGAGUUAUGUUAGCUGGAGAUCAACAGCAGGCUCUGUAACACAAUUUCCUCCACUUGCCUAUUGGGCUCAGCCAGCCAGAACCAGUAACUGGCUUAUUCCCUGCAGCUCCCACCUCUCUGAACCCAGGUGCCAGGGAUGGAUACAACACUGUGUUAGGGCACAGGCUUCCCUGCACAGCGAGGCAGACAAAUUGUAUGGCUCAGAGCUGCUAUCUGAGGCAGCCAGCAUGCUCGAUGAACAGCCCAGUGAUACCCGUGAGCAGAAAUCCCAUUUAUCAGGUGUGCUGUGCAGAGAGGUGGCACUGAUGUCUGACCCCUGGCUCGAGAACUCAGGGGAACAAGGAAGCAUCUGUGUCUUUCCUUCCAAAGUGCCUUGGCUCCCUCACAAACAAGUCUUCAUGAAGCUGCAGUCCCCAGCAGAAUGGUGGUUUUACCUGGGAAGCCAAAAGGGCUGUAAGCCACUCAGCAGGAACCAUUUGGGGGUGAGGUGAGGGAUGAGGUUAUGCACUUAGACGGCCCCAGCCAGUCCCCCAUGCCCCUAUCUCUGUGUGCGCAACUGCUCCCUUCUCUGUUCUGAAGGCUAAUCUGUACCUCCAGACGUUUACAGUCAAUAUUCUUAUCUGCUCAGUGUGGUGUUAAUCUGUAUUUCAGAGAGGGAUGAGUGGGAAGACAGUCUUGUUGAAAACAGGGCACUGUGCAGAAGGCAGUUUAAGGCUAAUUGGCUGGAAAAAGCAUUGCACUGGUCCUUCAGAGCAUCUCUUUUUAGGGUUAUUGUAUGACUUUCCAACACAAGCUCCCUUUCUCCAGCCAGGAACUUUGUCAGACUAAGUCUGAUGAUGUUGAGCAUCUGUUCCACGCUCAGGACUAUCCAGCAGCUCACGCUGAGCUUCCAGAUUAAUGUAAAUCCAGAUGAUGUGCCCACUUCAGCUGUGCAGUGCACGAGCACUGUGCCCAAGUAUACAUCACAUGAUGUCCCAGAACUGUUCCUAUGAAUGUGUUGAUGUAAAAAUAACUGAUUAUUCAGAUGCUAGUGGAAUUUUCAAGACAAACAGGGAGGCCCAUGUGCAUUUUAAGUACUUCCCAAGUAAAACAGCAGUUCAGCACAGGUAGGGAAGGAAAAAGGAUUACAUAUUUAGAUUAAGGUAUCUCAAUGUAUUUUUUGGAUCUUGCCUUUUUUGGAUCUGCUCAGUGCUGGUCUGACUCAUCUCUUAGGUGUUUCUUCUCACAGGAGAUCAGUGACUUUGCUGCUGCUGGAUUGACUGGCAGAGUAAGGACGGUUACCUGCCAAGUAAAUCCAGUUAUUCAGCCCUUGCUGGUCCCAAAUAGAGCUCUGUGGCCUAUAAAGGGUCACAUUAAUUAAAAUAAGCCAUCAGAACAGCAGACGUGCUGGGUAUUCACCUCCGCACCAGCCCAGGGCAGAGCAUGUUCAGCUCACUUCAGCAGCAGUGCCACAAAAUCUCUUCAUGACGUUUUUGACAGAGCUAAGUAUUACCAAGAUUUUUUAAUAGUUACCUUUGUAAUUAGCCAUUUUAAAUUCAUUUACUGAAAAUGAGAGGGGCUGGGAUCCUCACGUGUCUUCCUUGCUCCUAUCUUUGCUCGAGUUCACCAUAGAGAGCUUAGUGCAAAAUCCAUAAAGAACCAAAAAAGUGCAUAUUUGAAAGAGCAAUUCAAGCAUAUGUAGAAUGUUCCUGGCUACAUGUAAUUGCAGGCAAGUACUGACAUUUCUGCUGUUCUGGACAAAUGUAUUUAUUUAUUACUUUAUUAACCCACCUCUUCUCUUCAGCAUGUGUUUCUUCUUCUCUCAUUUCCUAAUAUUCCCUGAGUAUUAUUUACCUGAUUUGCAUGACAUACAUGACAAUUGCUUGGGUAGAUCAAACCAAUGACACCACAGUGUUACAAAGAACUAGACGGGGUGUUGUAGUGCUUUUUGGAAGGGCAGAACUUUCCUUUCUUACUGGUAGUACUUCCUCAAGUCAGCAGUGCUAUGAGAACUGUACUCCUCAAUUCCACAGCCAACACUGAUAUUCUGAGACAAACAUUCACCAUUCUUUGCUGCUCUGAGUAUUCUCUCACCCCAGAGAGGAAUGAUUUUAUUAAUUUAAACAGGAAGAAAUAUGUACAAAAAUGACCCAAAGUCUGAUAUAUACCUGUUGGUAUUGACUAAAUCCUUAUCCUGUGAGGGCAAUGUCAAGGCACCUAUUGAUUGUUCCUGAGUAAAUAUCUUGUUGAAGUGGCACUGUCUGUGAAAUUGAAUUACAUAAAUUUUAAUGCCUACAAUAAAAGUUCAUCAGAACUAGCACAGAAACUUCUCUACUUAACUGGAGGUUGACUCAGUUUAUGAAAUGGAGCGAUUUAUCUCCCAAUGGAUCAUGAUACAGGUAUCCAAGUGAACCAUCAGUAAUAAAUAUGGUAUUUCCUCUGUAGUGAUCUGAACAGUGAAUAAAGACUUAAUUUGCAAGUAUUUUCAGAAACUGGGGGAAAACACAGCGAGUUCCCAAGGGUGCAAGUGGACUCGUUUGUAUUUAUAAGUAAGUCAACAUCAAGCUGAUGUGAUUAAACAGUUACUCUGUCAGUGACUUAGCCCUGUUCUUUUCUCCAUCUGGUAGGCAGGCAGGCAGAUUAAAUUUAUGCUGUGUGUUUAUUUUCUUGAAAUAAAAUGAGUUUUGUUUAUAUUUCGAGGCAGUAUGAUGUGGUAACAAAUGUACCAAAUAUAUUAACUUCAAAAAAAAAAGGAAAAAGAAAAGAGGAUUUAGACAAAAAAGAAGACGUGCCUCCCAAGGCACCAUACUUUAUUUAAAGGAAAUGGAAACACACCAUUUUUUUUUUAAAUGCUCAUUUACAGACUUUAAAGAAAAUUAAAUUUAUAGUUUAGCCUCUGAGUUCUGGAACUACCAGUUGUUUCCUGAAAGUGACUUUGUAAUGAGUUUUGGGAAAUCAUUUUAGUAUUGACUUGGGCUGUAAUGGUUGGCUGUUGCUUUUUUGAAUAAGAUUAAUUAAAUUACUCUGAACGAGCUCCAAGUCCAUGCCCUUCUCUGAGGCCAAUUGUGAAUAUGACCAUAAUAAACUCUUAAAAAGUAUUUCAGAAAGUAAAUAAUCUCCAAACCUGGAAGUAUGUCAUUGUGCUCUGGUAAGAAUAACAAACAGCAUUUGCUUCCUUGUUUCAACAUACAUCACUUUGCUUUCGUACCUUGCACUUUCCUCAGUUGUAAGAAGUGAGGGUUAUUUUUGUUUGGUUAAUUUUCUGUACAACAGCAGGAGAUAAUUUUGACUGCAUCUUAAAGAAAGAACCAGAUAAGAAGUAAGUGCAUAGGCACAAAUAAGAGCUGGCAGUUGUACUUCUGAUUUCAACUCUGAAAUGUAGGACUCCUCUUAGUUAUUCAUACUUCGGUAAGCUCAAAUAAAAUACGGACCACAUUAUAUCAGUCUCAAUAAAAACAUACGGAAGUGAAUGCUCUUAAUUUAUAGAAGCUUUGAAAAUCAAUGCCAAAUAUGCAAAGAUUCCAUAAACAGAGAGGUGAAAGGACUUAUCCAAAGCUCCUUUAUGUGCCUGGGCUGAUGACAGUUGACACCAGGUCUUCAGAGCGCCAUGCCAGCGUCCGGUCCAGCGAACACUGCUGCUGCUUGGUAAGCUGGACUGAGAUAUCUCCCCAGAUGCUGCUCUGAUUUUCCACAGAAAUGGUAAGUACUUGGAAAAAUAAGAUAAAAAAAAAGUAAAACAUACCCCAAGGGAAGCCACCAAAAAAUGAUGGGUGUAUGUCUCCCAUAGAACCAUGGGCAAGGUAGACAACAAGAACUGGUGAAAGAAUAGAAGCAAAAGGAAAGAAAACAGUAGAAGUUUGUGGAGUAAUUUAGUAUGAGCAGCUGCACAAAGUAUCUUAACAGCGACAGACCAUCUGCAGUCCCAGUACAGAGAAAGAUCAACAGCUUGUGUGGUAUGAGCUUCCAAAGGAGAGUCUGCUGCACUUCUCAAAUCUCCUGUGAGUUCUCUGAGAUGGAGUAGGUGAGCUGGGAGCACAGCACUCCUGAGAAAAUUUGGUUCUGUAAGGAUGGAGGUUGCUAGGGAGCAAAGCCCUCUUAUGCCAUAAGGAAGGAUUUCUGUUUCCUUGGCAUUACUUUCCUUGCUAGGAAGUCCUGCUCUCAUUCUUUAGGCCAAAAGAUCUGGGCAAGGCUGGUUUGAUGGGCAGAUGAGGGUGGCUGGCAAAGGCUGUGAAUUUUUCUUCUUCCUUGUUCUUAAGUGUCCUUAACCCGUGCUGACAAGAGUAAAAUAGAGACUUGGAGGUCUUAAAUAAACAGGAAUCUUGCAGGGUACAGGUUAAACUAACACUGACAGAGCCAGUAGCUGCAACAAUUUGUAAUUAUAUCCAUGAUCCCAGUGCUCUCUUUCUCAAGGCAAAAAGAUUUGGGUACCAACUUAUGGAGUGAAAUGUCAGUGUUCCCUGCAUUCCCUGCUCCACUGGUGUUCCUCUUUAGGUCUUUAGAAAGAGAACUACUUUGCUCCUAAAACUGAUUAAAGCAUGAAGGAUGAUCUGGUUGAGUGAAUGUGGUAAGAAAUGGCAACCUGUGUCAAAGUUUUUUUGCUCUUAUUUAGUUUAUAUAUUUGUGAUGUUUUUCUACUUUUGGUAGAGAUAAAAGAUUUAUAUUUCAAUGCCUCAAAUUUGAGCUCUAAUACUAUUUUUUACCUUCUACUCUUCUUUUUUCUCUUUAAUUUCUGGUAUUGUUGAGCUUUGGAAAAGAAGAAAUGUUCUCCUGGUAUAUGUACUGGUUUACUUUGUAUUAAUUUGAUUACAUUACUGAUAAACUGAAUUUACUGCUAGUCCACAAACAUGGUGGAUAUGAAUGCUUGCUUCUCACUGGUUUUCUUGAUGGAAUUUUAACCAUGUUUUGCUACAAAUGGAAUCUCAGUUAAAGGAGUAAUUAGUACUUCUGUCUGUUGAAAAUAAUAUUUUAAAUAGCUGUAGUUAAUCCUAAGAAUUGGAGAAUACUCCUUCAUGUAUUAACGUGUUAUUUUAUAUGUUUAUAUAUAUAUAUAUGUUAUAUAUACCUAUUUUAUAUGUUAUACAUAUUAUAUAUGUUAUAAUAGCUAAAAUCACAUUAUUCUCCAAUAAUCCCUGCUUGGUGGGAUGGCAUUCAAGCUCUGAGUGGUGCUGACACCUCUUACACCUCUAAGAAUGGAAAACAAAGCAGUCACUUGAGCUCUUUAUUUAUCAGCCAGUAUCUCACUGCAUGUAAUUUGUCUGGUUUUUUAGCAAAGGAAGUAGGACUGCACUCUACCUGAAAAGCUGAUGUCCUAAAUGACUGAUGUAGAAGCAGGUAAGCAUAAAAGAAUACUGGAUACAGGACCCCAAACCUCCAGUAGACCAAGAGAAAGAAGUUUAAACCCUUGCAAAUACUGGGCCAAAUACAGCCAUAUCACAGGCUAAGUCAAGUCUACACAUGCCAUUGGACACAGCUAAGAAGAAAAUGAGCUUCAGCCACUGUGCCUUUCCUCCGUUCUCUGAAAGGGCAGAGGUUCUGGCAGACAGAACUUUUAGCAGAUUCAAGAGGGCGAAUUUGACAACAAUUCACAGUGAGUAGAUGCACAUUAAAGCAAAGGAAAUUUGUUUGCUUCAAGUAAAGAGUGGACAGUUUCACUGCUAGUGCUGAGGACAAGUUGUAUUCAGAAAACAGCCUCGUUUCCUUUGCCUUGUGUCUUGUGCAGAGGCUUCUUGCUGUACAUGGACUGUGAAGUUUAUGGCUAUGGGGAUUUUAGAACUAGAAGCAUCUCUGACAACCCAGUUGCAUUGUUUUUUUCUCUAUUUUAACAGCAGAUCUUUUUCAGUAGGCGGUGUGAAAAGAAUUGUUUUCAAUUAUUCUUGGCUACAUUUUUUCCCACAGAUUCUGACUUAAUUAGACUCAUUAACAAGACCAAGCAACAUAUUGUCUGUGGGAAAAGAUUUCAGAUGAGAGAAGACUGUUAUACCAUUUUAUUCAAAUCCUUCUGCCAGGAAAAAGCAACUUGACCAAAACAGGGAGGCUUCCAAGAAGUGGCUGCAUUGCUCCUGAAGCUGUUUUUGGAGAGAACAGGGUUUAUUUUUGCCAAAAAAAUGUAACUGUUUUUGUUGAAAAUAUCUGCUUUGCUUUCUAAAAUGUACUUUGUCCACAAAUAUUGCUAUCGGUAGGUCAACUCACAGUGAUCCCACUAGGAAAGACAGAUGCUUCAAGAUUAAUUCUUCAGAUGUAUUUUUUUGCUUAGUGGGGACCCAUAUGGAUGUAGAGACAGUGCACUGGGCGGUAUCCUUUCCUCAGCGCCUGUGCCUGCUAUGGGAGGCCACCCAGCUCUGUCACAGUGGGGAGAAGACAGAAAAGCAAAAAGAACAGAGGAGAGGAAAAAGGAUAGAUAUAGAAAAUUAAUGCUCGGGAGAGGGAUUGCUAGUUCUUUAGGGGAUUUCCAGCACACAGUCUAUGGAAAAUUUUUAUCCACAUCCAAACUGGUCAGAAAUUUCUUUCAGGAACUGCCAUCACUAACCCUGAGGCAGCUGGCAGCUGCAGCACUCUUCAGGCUGCACCAGAGAUAAGGAACCCAAACUACACAUGGACCCUUAAGUGGAGGAAGGAGGGACUUGCAGAGGGCUCCCAGGUAAUACAGUGAAUGCCACCAUUUUAGUGUGCCUGACAGUGCCCUGGUAAUGAACUGAUGUAACACAGACAGAGCAUAAAAUGCCAACAUGUACCUCUCUUGUGAUACAAGAGAGAGAUAAAUGAUAGCAGUUUAAUUUCUGGCUAAGCUAUACUCUUUUCCUUAGCUGAAAAAACAAGCAAGUGCACUUCAGAUGGCACCUGUAUCCUAUACUUCUGUUGUCUUCUGCCAUUUCAUCAUUCAUUCUUUGUCUUUUCCUGAUAAAAUCCUACAAUUUUAUUUGCUUAAACAAAGAUCUGUGAUCACAGAAUCACUCCCUGGCCUCCUCUUUUCUCUUAACAAUUUUCCUUUUUUUGGACAAGGGCUUCCCAUUCUUUCUGGUCCAUAAACAACAGAGCACUUCUCAACUGUUGAGUUGCUAAGAAUACUCCUUUUGCAUUUAGCAUCAUGAUGACCUUGGAAUGACUAAUUUACGAGGACCACGAACUUGUUCAUCUCAGACAGUUCUGUAGGUAUCCAAGAGAGGAUUUUUAAAGAAACACUACCAAAAUUAAAGGAUGUUUCCAGAUAAAUGGCCAUUAGGUACUCAGCCCCAUAGUUCUUCAGUGCAAGGAAUACUGUGACUGUGAGUGAAUAUGCCUUAAAAUAUGUCAGCAGAGUAACUCUGUUACUGUUGUUAACAGCAUUAUAUGGGAUUCAGCACCUAAAUAUUGUGUCUCAGAUGUGUGGGAAAGGAUGGCUGGAGAGAAUUGGGUGGAGCUCAGCAUUCUCAUAAUUCUCAUGUCUUGUCCUGAGCAGUAAUGAGAGUGGCUCUGUAGGCUGAAUCUUGAAAAAGAAAGAAAGAAUAGGCUUUGAUUGCUAUGGCAAGUGUAAAACCUUGUGAAUAAUGUAGAUAAUUUGUGGACAUUUGAAGUGAAGAAUAACGUAUGUUCCACUGGUUAGCUUUCUUAUUGCUCCAUACAAGUGCCAUGGCAUUUUUUCAGCAGCAAAUAUUUGUAGAGAUCUAUGUCCCAAAAAAGAACUGGAUUACAGUUUUUAUCUUGUUGUUGCUGUGCUUUAAGAGCCUUUCUAAGUACCUUCUAAGCAAAAUAGAUUAUAAUCUUCAUUCUUCUAGGGCAGAGCCUAAGCAGAGAUCUGUGCUCAGUUGCAUCUUUAGAUGCAUAAUGCAGUACAGCUUAAAUACAUCCAUGUACUCUAAAAGUGUUACUGAUCCUAAGAAACAUUUGUUGGCUUUACUUCGGCAUGAUUAUAUUCAUCAUUUUCACUGUAGGCAAUAGGUUGCAGGGUAUGCUUUAAUCUUGCAUGUGGUCACAGAAUAAUUUGAAAGGGUGUCCAGAAUAGAGUUAAUCUUACCAUUUUGUACUGAGAAAGGACUCACUGUACUCUGGUUAACCUUGACUAAUGUCUGUUUAACCUUGUGUUUACCUCAAAUUUAAGAAACUAUGUUUGGUAUGUAUUUUCUUAGUGAGCAGUGAGGAUGCCACAUCUUGAGGUGCUGAUACCUCUGCUGCUUCCUCUCAUCUGCUGGAUGGAGGGACUUGCUUCAUCUCCCCUUGUCUCACCUUGGAAGUGCUGGAGGUCCUGUGUGCAGACAGCAGAAUACAGAGGACAGUAGCAAACUUCAUGUACCAAUGGGCAGUGACUGUUGGUGCCCAUCCAGUUCUUUGGAUGUAUUAUACAUGGAACUGCUGUUAACAUAUAAGCAGCCACUGCUAAAUUAUAACCUUAAAGACGAUGGGAUUUCACCAGUGUCAGCAUCUGUUGUUCAUAAAGGAAUUGGGAAAUGGCCCAGCGUCACAUCCAGCUCUGAUCAUGAACAAAUACACUUUGACUUGGACAUGACCUGAUAUUCAAACUAGCAGUAGAUGGAAAAGAAGACAAACAGUUUUUUCAUGAGUUUCAAACACACCUUAAGCAGCUCCGGGACCUUCCAUCAAGAUAACUUGAUAAACCUUGUACGUUUACCUACCUUGACAGUUGUUCAGAUGUCAUGCUAUUUUGGUUUUAGAUUAUUUAAACUAAUGCCUGCUGUCCCACAAGAUACAGGUGAUUGCAAAGGCAGAAAGGUCACCUAAUGAAGCCUGAACUGACCUAGGAAUAUGGGCUUGGCUCCAUUCCCUGCAGUAAAACUUCAGUGCAGAAGAUCAAAUGUGAGAUUCACCUACCUCUGAGCACAGACGUGUUCCAGGACAAAGUUUGGCAUGCAGGCCCUUCUACUCAGGCAGAACAGUACACGACAAAUGUAUCACUGCACAGUGACAGCAGCAUGCCACAAGGUCAGAGCCACAAGCAGCAUGCCACAAGGUCAGAGCCUGGGUCAUAAUUCACCCUAUUAUAUCUGUUUAAUCCAUUCCUUAUUCAUUUUACUACAUGUAUUUCCUACUGAUUAUAUACCUUGUCAUGCAUCUCCAACUGACUUUUAAUCUCCAUGAUUUAAUCUUCAUUAUGGAGUCACCGGGUAUGACCAAGUUUUACUUAUUAGCAAAAACAUUAUGUAUUUUUUGAUGUUCUAAUUGGAAUAUUUCCAAUCUGAAUAUCCUCACUGUGCUCUCUCUCAGGUGUCUGUGUCACCUCCAGUACUCUCAUGGACUGCACACAUUCUGCUCAUUAAUCUACAUACCAUCACUUCUGGUGCAAAGCAAUCAUACUUAGGCUUUCUGAAAGCAGUAUAACAAUAUUUCAGCCUAUAAGCCAAUCCAGGUACUCAGACAGAAAAUACAUCUAGUCAGUUGUGUUUACAUAAAGACAUUUAUAGGGUAUGUUAUCACAAUAGUCUAUUACUUAGUAGAGCUGGUUGCAAAGUAAAAGAAAUACUACUUAUUACUGUAGUUUAGACUCUAGAAGCCUUCUUUUAAUGGUUACAUAAUACCAAAAGCUCGCCCUUGGAUCUCCUGCUUGCUAGAAAACCUGAUUUCUUGUAUUUUUUUAAUCAGAGAACAAGGAGUUGUCUCAAACGAAAAAGAAACCAAAACAAAAAAAUAUUUUCAUUUAAAAAUUACUUUUUUUCCAUUUGUUCAAGUAAAUAUUAACUGCAGCAGAUAUCCACAGCCCUCUUGAAAAGGUAAAACUUCCUAAGGCUUCUAGAAAUGCACAGCUAGACAGAGAAAGUGAGCUAACAGCCUCAUUGUUAUUAAUAAAAUAAGCCUGGUGAUACAUAGCAGUAUCAUUUGGUCACCAUGGCCCCCUCUAGCCCUACCCAAAGCUGAAACAGAAAGAAUAUCCCACCUGUGUUACAUUAACCUAGUUUCCAAUUAAAAGAUUGAAAUAUUGUAGGUUUUUCAUGUCUGUGAUUUUAUCUGUAGCAAAUAAAUGAUCCAAGUGCAAGGACAAAGAGAUUUAAAGGAAGGUUAUUUACUCAAAGAGCUCUCCAAUUUCCUGAUGGUAGAAUUCACUGGGAAAAAAAAACAACACAACUUACACCUGAGGAACUGUAGCUGAAAUUGCAGAUAGCCACUAGAGAGAGAGAGAAAAAAAAGGCUUCUUUAAAAACCAGUAACACCGCUAUUAUUGCAAUUCUGACUGUCAAGAAGUAAUUGCAAAUUGUUCUUGUGCCUGGACCUCCACUUGCAGAUCACAGACUGACUAUAAUAAGAAAUUAUCCCUUAAAAAGAAGGAGCCCCAGAGGAGUAGCAAAGACCAGCAUAAAAUAGGCCACAAAAAUCCUAACCAUUGAAUUUGAAGCACUAACAUACAAAAAAGAAAUGCAAAAUCACUUAGAUAUAACUUGGCCAAAACCUGCAGCAGGGAGAGCAGCCAGAAGACAUUUGAAGGAUGCGUUUGCAUGGGAAAUUCUUACGGCUGAAGUACACAGAAAAGAACUAUUAAGGGGUGGGUAAGUAGGACUGAUGAAAUCAAAGGAAAAUGAAAGAAAAUGAUUUGACAGCAAUUGCGUGCUGUAUGGUUGCUGUGCUGUAUUUUCCCACGGGAAACAGUCAAAUGUGUUUCACUGGAAACAUUAAAAAACAACGCAGCCUGGACAGAAGCACAGAGAGAGUGCAGUAGUCAGAGAUGGGACUGGAGAGCAUUUCCACUCCUGAAUUACCUAUUUCCUGGCUGCCGUUUUAUUGUGAUUCAUUGUUUUUCCUUCUGGAACCAAUAACCUCCCACACAACAACCCCAAUCAAUAGUGAACAUUUGCCAUGCACAAACACGUGUUUAGAGGAUUGACCCCAACUUACCUACUGGUUGGUGUCAUUCAACACUGACGUUUAUGUGCAGAGUCUUGCCUCUGCAAAGAACCAGCAUCUCACUUUAUACAAAUGCAUACAGCCUAGGAAAUAAGUAGGAUGAGUUGGAAACCAGGUCCACUUGGAAAGUUAUGACCUUGUUGCUAUUGUGGGAGUCUGGGAUGACUCUCAUAACUGGAAUACCACCACUGAGGGGCCUCGGCUCUUUAGAAGGGAUAGGCAAGGUAGGAAGGGUGGGGGAGUUGUCCUCUAUGUCAAAGAGUGGAUAGACUGUGAGGAGCUCCCUCUGAGAAACAGUCAGGAACAGGUUGAGAGCCUGUGGGUUAAAACUAGGGAUAGGACUCAUAAAGGCCAGCUGGUGAUAGGGAUAUAUAUACUACAGGCCACCUGAUCAAGGGGAGACUGUUGACAAGGCCUUCUUGCUUCAGAUGCAGGAGACAUUGUGCUCACAGACUCUCGUCCUGGUGAGGGACUUCAACCAUCCAGAUAUCUGAUGGAGAGACCACACAGCGAGUUCCAAGAGGUCCAGGAGGCUCCUGGAAUCCAUUGAUGAUAACUUUCUGGUUCAGGUAUUGGACAGACCAACCAGCAGUGAAGUGUUGCUGGACCUGCUGCUCACCAAUGCAGAGAUGAUCAUUACAGGUGUUAAGGUGGGAGGCAGCCUGGGCUGCAGUGACCAUGCUGUGGCCGAGUUCAUGAUCUCGAGGAAUGCGGGCCUGGCAAACAGUGGGGUCAGGACCCUGAACUUCAGAAGAGCGAACUUUAAGCUGCUGAAGGAAUUUUUGGCCAAGAUCCCACUCUACUGGGUCCCUUCCAACUCAGGCCAUUCUGUGACUCUGUGAAAAAAAAUAAUAACUUUUUUUUUCUUUCCUCAAAGCAAGCUUCUACUUAAAAAAACUGCAUGCCCAGUUAUGUAAAAGUGAGAGAAAGUCUCAGUGCCCUACAGAUACCAUGUUGAGAACUGUUGAGUCAUGGCCUGAACCACUGAUUGAGCACCUGGGGAAAGGACCUGGUCAGCCCUGGGAGCACAGGUGAAGGCAAUUCAGCUGUGCGACCAGAAGGGGUGGAGCCUGGCUGCACCUCUCUUAGACCUCAUUUAAGGGCUGACUGCCACUGGGGAAGGAUCUCUGGUUGGAGAUGCCUCCCUUGUGGUGUUUUCCCAGUGAGCCUGGAUCAUCAGAGAUGGGCACCCUGAGAACCAGGAAGUUGCUGUAAGAUGAAAUGCGACAGGGAUUCCCUGGAGGGCCCUACAGGAGGCUGGAAGGAGGGGAUUGGUUUUUUACCCACCACAUCUGAAACUGAGAAUCUCAGGCAGCAAAGGAACGGCGUUUGCUUAAAAACAGGUAAAUUAUUUAUUCUCAGUUCAUCUAAGAAAGGAACUAGAGAACUAUUUAGAGUACAGAGGAACAUAUAGUACUUGCUUACCUAACGAAAAGGUGUGAAAUGUGAGAGGUGAAAUUGUUAGAGAAGCUUAUAUCAUACUGCAGCCUUUUGCUGUCUUGUUAAUACCUGCUACAGUUAUACAAUGCAUUUAUGAAUAGAUGCUUGAAUUCAGAUAUCCUGCUAGUCAGUUUUUCUUACCAGAAAACACACACCUCAGAAAACAUUCAUCUAUGUGACAGGUAGCAUUUCACCCAUAUAAGAUGUUCAUGUUAUUUAGCUAACAGUACUGUAGGUGGAAUUACAGUACGGAUUCAUUACAGGUACACCCGUACAUGUGAUGCAACAUUUGGUCUAACAGUGGUUGACCCAGGGAAAGAAUAAGACCAAAGCCCUACUUGACAAGUGGUGUCCUGGCACGGAGGUCUCAGGAACCUCUGCUCUGAGCCUCAAGCUGGAUGGCCUCUCGCGAUCCUCUCUCCCUCUGAGCUUGGAGAAAGAGACGUGGAACAGAAUCUCCUGCUGUUUUGGUCUUAUAACGAGAUGGGAAGCAGAUCCUGCUUAACAUCAGAAACAAUAUUUAGUGACUUCUACAAAUGUACCUGAUAUAUACACACUAAUGCUUCAUAGGAGUGAUUUCAGGUGACCACAGCAACCUUUUGUUCAGCUGAUAGUUUAAGUAAUGUUUUUGCUUAAUUGCUGUUUUGCUUAAGACCUUAAUUCUUGCAAGAAACAACUUUGUGCUGCACCAUUCCCACGUGGAUGGAGAAAUGCAUGAAUUUUUCUUAACAUGACUUGACAGUGAAUUUAUUUCAUUGUGUCUGUUUUGACCUGAGCAACUAUUUUUAUUUCCUGUCCAUCUGAGUUACUACUUGAUUUGCUGAAAGCUAAGGAACCAGAGCUGUGAGAUUAAGAUUUCAAAAAUACAUGCUUUUGGAGAAGUUAUUUGGCUGAAACAAAUGCCCUGUGUUGGUCUGUCAGAGCCACGUGUCCUGUCCCUCUGAGCUAAGCUGUAUCGGAAGGCAAGACAGUCACUGCUGAAUGCCGCUUCAUUGAAAGUACAAGUAUUUUAAAAGUAUCCAAGUACUUCAAAUGGAAUUUCUAAUGCUCAAUACUUUGAGUUAAUAAAAAAAACUUCUAAAAACUUUUGUUUUUCUUUGCUUUUCUUUUUCUUUUUUUCCUCUAAGCUUUUUCCUUUCCUUCAGCAGUUUGUUAAAAUGAUAUAGUAGUUCCUCAGAGCUUGACUGACUUCCGUGGGUUCCUGGCAAUGGAAUCACUUGAGCUUCUAGACUUGUAAUUUAGAGCAUGAAAAGAGCCACAUCAGGGCUGGUCAACACCAUUAGCCACUCUCCAGUAGUGACAAAUAGCAUAUCCUGGGGAAAAAUGUAAGAAUGGGACUUGGAGACCGAGGCAGAGAUUAUAUCUUCAAAGUCCAUGAUGGAUUCUUUUUUUCUCCCACCAGAUCAGCUGCUGGCCUUUUUACUUCAGAAGCAUUCCUGGCUCAUAGCCAUAAAUUUGACUAGCUGUCUAACUAAUGAGUUUACCUAGAGUUUAAUUGGAUGUUGGAGAAUUUCUCCUGAUUUGAAUCUGUCAGUCCAUUUUUGUCCCCUGUUUCUUACAGCAUAAGAAAUGAUGAACAAUUUUUCUCUAUUAAAACCUUCAUUUUAUGAUUGCACACACCUCUGCCAUAGCAACUUCAGGCAUCUCUUUUCCAAGACAUUGCUCUAUUUUUUUUUUCUCAGUGAGGAAGUUAUUCAGUGUGUUUGCUCAUCCUUCUCCCUGACUUGUGUUCUUUUGUGUCUCAAGACAAAUACAGAUCUCAAUAAGUACUACCCAGGGAUCCCUUAGCUUCUUUGAACUGCAGUCAUUUUCUUAGUAGUGCUGUGUAAAAAUGACAUAUGUGAAAUACAGGGGAAUUUGCUGGAGACUUCCAAUGCUGAAGAUUAAGUAAAUAUGAUUUUACUCUACAUACAAAAUCUACUGAUGAGGAAGUUAAGUUCUUAUCAGCAGCAGUUACAGUAACUGGCUUGUCUGCUUUCCUCACGCAGGGGAUAAUUCUGACGCAGA
This is a long non-coding RNA of Gallus gallus (chicken), 25197 nucleotides long. RefSeq lists it as uncharacterized. The record is from RefSeq and is a predicted model, not a curated record. The transcript has 10 exons. NCBI's taxonomy places the organism in Eukaryota, Metazoa, Chordata, Aves, Galliformes, Phasianidae.